This 253-nucleotide ribosomal RNA is filed under the name uncultured bacterium. Its description in RNAcentral is "partial 16S ribosomal RNA". It matches the Rfam family "Bacterial small subunit ribosomal RNA", at positions 524 to 776 of the family's 1533-position model. The record is from RNAcentral.
UACGUAGGGUGCAGGCGUUAAUCGGAAUUACUGGGCGUAAAGCGUGCGUAGGCGGUUUGUUAAGACAGGUGCGAAAUCCCCGGGCUCAACCCGGGAACUGCGUCCGAGACUGGAAGGCUUGAAUCCGGGAGAGGGAUGUGGAAUUCCAGGUGUAGCGGUGAAAUGCGUAGAUAUCUGGAGGAACACCGGUGGCGAAGGCGGCAUCCUGGACCGGUAUUGACGCUGAGGCGCGAAAGCCAGGGGAGCAAACGGG